UACGUAGGGGGCGAGCGUUGUCCGGAUUUAUUGGGCGUAAAGAGCGUGUAGGCGGCCUGGCAGGUCUGCUGUGAAAACUCGAGGCUUAACCUCGAGAUGUCGGCGGAAACCAUCUGGCUAGAGUCCGGAAGAGGAGAGUGGAAUUCCUGGUGUAGCGGUGAAAUGCGCAGAUAUCAGGAAGAACACCCGUGGCGAAGGCGGCUCUCUGGGACGGUACUGACGCUGAGACGCGAAAAGCGUGGGGAGCGAACAGG
RNAcentral lists this ribosomal RNA (254 nucleotides) under uncultured bacterium. RNAcentral's name for it is "partial 16S ribosomal RNA". It matches the Rfam family "Bacterial small subunit ribosomal RNA", at positions 524 to 776 of the family's 1533-position model. The record is from RNAcentral.